CUCGUCUAUGUGGUGCCUGUAAGUCCUGUUUUAAAAGUCUUAAGGCAUUUCUUAGAUGAUCU
This 62-nucleotide microRNA precursor is filed under the name Drosophila ananassae. RNAcentral describes it as "Dan-Novel-8_pre stem-loop". The record is from RNAcentral. Lineage: Eukaryota; Metazoa; Arthropoda; Insecta; Diptera; Drosophilidae.